GGAGAGUUGGCAGAGUGGUAAUGCACCGGACUCGAAAUCCGGCGAGCCGAUUUAUAUUGGUGCGCAGGUUCAAAUCCUCUACUCUCCU
Molecule: transfer RNA, 88 nt
Filed under: Ligilactobacillus salivarius
Lineage: Bacteria; Bacillati; Bacillota; Bacilli; Lactobacillales; Lactobacillaceae
Description: tRNA-Ser
Rfam family: tRNA
About the family: Transfer RNA (tRNA) molecules are approximately 80 nucleotides in length.
Source: RNAcentral